ACCGUUGAAGAGCGAGCAGCUAAAUCUCGCGUCUCUUGUUGAAGUGGUUUUUAAAAGGAUUUAAAGCUUUCUUUGUUCUAUUUUAACCACUAGUUGAUACUAUUAUAAGUCAUUUACUUUUAGACAACCAAAGACUAUUUGUUUUUCUUGGCAAUGUUUCUUGAAAUCACGACAAUGAAAGGAAACUACCAGAAGGACAUCAAGACCGCGCCUGUUCACAAGAAAAAGUGGUCAAAACCGAAGAGGAGGACAUUUCUGCGCUCAAAUAUGGGCGAAAGGAGAAGAAGGGUCCGCGUCUGGUCGUCCACGAGACCGCAGCGGAGUCCGGACCAUGUCGACAGGACAGCUACGGGGAAUCAACGUCACCUAACAGUAGCCAUGGCACCAAGAAACACGACGCAAUAUUUAAUGGACCUGGUGUACGCUGAGCGAUUAGACGUUUCAAUGGAGGCAUGUGACAUCUUUGGACUUUCAGCAGCGAGACUUCGAGAGCGUGUUCUUCAGGAAUGAAAUCUGACGUGUUUUCCAAAACCUGACUCGAUUUCGUCGGAAUGAGGCGACCGGGCUGCUGUGUAACCAUAGACAGUAACAUCAUUGCGCAGACUCCAACUCGGGGAGGCGGAACGCUCUGCGUCACAGCUGCGCGAUGACGUGUACGCCCCGCCCUCAGCACGGCCACCAUCACGUGGCCAGCAGGUAAACCCGCUCCACCCUUUGUGUACGCGGUGUAAGAGCGUUGCAGUAACGUGCAGUCGCAGUGUAAUUGCUGAGGAGUGUGCAUGCAUUGUU
Cyprinus carpio (common carp) is the source of this 789-nucleotide long non-coding RNA. NCBI's taxonomy places the organism in Eukaryota, Metazoa, Chordata, Actinopteri, Cypriniformes, Cyprinidae. The record is from Ensembl.